Molecule: ribosomal RNA, 237 nt
Filed under: uncultured bacterium
Lineage: Bacteria
Description: partial 16S ribosomal RNA
Rfam family: Bacterial small subunit ribosomal RNA
Source: RNAcentral
AGCGAACGUUAGCGGCAGGCCUAACACAUGCAAGUCGAGCGAGAAAGAGGACUUCGGUCCUCGAGUACAGCGGCGUACGGGUGAGUAACACGUGGGUAAUCUGCCCUUCGGUGGGGGACGAACAACCCGAAACGGGUUAGGCUAAUACCGCAUUCGCCGGCAUGACCUGUGGAUUAUGCCGGGAAACGGUGGGCCGUCUACUUGUAAGCACACGCCGAAGGAGGAGCCCGCGUCCCA